Molecule: long non-coding RNA, 855 nt
Filed under: Amborella trichopoda
Lineage: Eukaryota; Viridiplantae; Streptophyta; Magnoliopsida; Amborellales; Amborellaceae
Description: long non-coding RNA (ATRI_LNC003048)
Source: RNAcentral
UUGGAAAGUGAUGGGGGAAUGCUAGUCCCACAAAGCAAGUCAUUAAUCUGGAGGUCUUAUCCCCUUCCAUCACCGUCCAGUCGCUGGGAUGGACAGUAAUGACCCCUGUUAACAAUAUUGUUCCAAAUGUUACAAAAUAAAAAUGAAAAAAAAGAAAGACAAGCAUUAGAUUAUUACUAGGGAAAAUUACAAAAAACUCCUCAAAAGAUAUUAUCUAUACAACUUACCCCCAUCGAAACCUUUUCUCUCAUUUUUUUUCCCACAAUAAGCUUUCUAUGCAAAAUUCCCCCAAAAUAAAAAGUACUUUUUUUAGAUGAAAAUGCCGUUCCCAUAUAAAAAAAUCAAUUUUGUGUGAUUUGACGCCUCACAAGUUCUACUGCCGGAGCGCCUUUUGCCACUGUCAGAGAGAUGUGUCUCACAAGUUCUAUUGCCGGAGCAUCCUUUGCAACUGUCGAAGCGGUAUUGCUGGAGCGCCAUUGGCUACUACCGAAACGCUGUGUCGCACAGGUUCUACUAACGGAGAGAGAGACGUGUGAGAGAGAGGCGUGUGCAAUAGUAUUAAGGGUAGUUUAGUCUUUUUAUUUUAUUUUAUUUAGGUUGGGGGUUGUUUGCAUAAAAAAUUUGUUAUAGGAAAAAAACUGAGAAAAAAAGUUAGAUUGAGAGUAAGUUGCACAAAUAGUGUAGUCUUCGGGUUUUUUUUGUAAUUUUUCCUUAUUGGGUUCAAAUCCUAUUGCCACUGCCCCAUUCAUACUAAUACUAAUACUAAUACUGCCACUACCACUGCCCUUGUGUCCUCCGAAAGGUUACCGACUCUUAUUGAAUUCUCUUCGUUUCUCCUCCUCAUUUCAGUUCCAG